GACGAACGCUGGCGGCGUGCCUAAUACAUGCAAGUAGAACGCUGAAGCUUGGUGCUUGCACCGAGCGGAUGAGUUGCGAACGGGUGAGUAACGCGUAGGUAACCUGCCUGGUAGCGGGGGAUAACUAUUGGAAACGAUAGCUAAUACCGCAUAAGAGUAGAUGUUGCAUGACAUUUGCUUAAAAGGUGCAAUUGCAUCACUACCAGAUGGACCUGCGUUGUAUUAGCUAGUUGGUGAGGUAACGGCUCACCAAGGCAACGAUACAUAGCCGACCUGAGAGGGUGAUCGGCCACACUGGGACUGAGACACGGCCCAGACUCCUACGGGAGGCAGCAGUAGGGAAUCUUCGGCAAUGGACGGAAGUCUGACCGAGCAACGCCGCGCGAGUGAAGAAGGUUUUCGGAUCGUAAAGCUCUGUUGUAAGAGAAGAACGAGUGUGAGAGUGGAAAGUUCACACUGUGACGGUAUCUUACCAGAAAGGGACGGCUAACUACGUG
RNAcentral lists this ribosomal RNA (497 nucleotides) under uncultured bacterium. RNAcentral describes it as "partial 16S ribosomal RNA". It matches the Rfam family "Bacterial small subunit ribosomal RNA", at positions 28 to 507 of the family's 1533-position model. The record is from RNAcentral.